AGUGAACGCUGGCGGUAGGCCUAACACAUGCAAGUCGAGCGGAAGCACAGUAAGAGCGUGCCCUUACGGUUGGCGAGUGGCGGACGGGUGAGGAAUAGAUAGGAAUCUACUUUUUCGGGGGGGAUUACGUAGAGAAAGUUAUGCUACUACCUCAUACUAUCUACGGGUGGAAUCAGGAGAGCUUCGCACCUUUGCCGUCUGAUAUAGCCGAUGUCGGAUUAGCUAGUUGGCUUGGUAAAGGCACACCAAGGCAACGAUGCGUAGCAGAUCUGAGAGGAUGAUCAGCCACACUGGAACUGAGACACGGUCCAGACUCCUACGGGAGGCAGCAGUGGGGAAUAUUGGACAAUGGGCGCAAGCCUGAUCGAGCCAUGCCGCGUGGGUGAAGAAGGCCUUCGGGUUGUAAAGCCCUGUUAUUAGGGAAGAAAAGCUGUAUAUUAAUACGUCGAUGUCCUGACGGUACCUAAACAAAAAGCACCGGCUAACUUCGUG
This 492-nucleotide ribosomal RNA is filed under the name uncultured bacterium. RNAcentral describes it as "partial 16S ribosomal RNA". It matches the Rfam family "Bacterial small subunit ribosomal RNA", at positions 29 to 507 of the family's 1533-position model. The record is from RNAcentral.